GACGAACCGUGCGAACGUUGUUCGGAAUCACUGGGCUUAAAGGGCGCGUAGGCGGACUGCCAAGUCCGGGGUGAAAUCCUCCGGCUUAACCGGAGAAUUGCCUGGGAUACUGGCGGUCUUGAGGGAGGUAGGGGCACGCGGAACUUCCGGUGGAGCGGUGAAAUGCGUUGAUAUCGGAAGGAACGCCGGUGGCGAAAGCGGCGUGCUGGCCCUCUUCUGACGCUGAGGCGCGGAAAGCCAGGGGAGCGAACGGG
Molecule: ribosomal RNA, 254 nt
Filed under: uncultured bacterium
Lineage: Bacteria
Description: partial 16S ribosomal RNA
Rfam family: Bacterial small subunit ribosomal RNA
Source: RNAcentral